RNAcentral lists this ribosomal RNA (428 nucleotides) under uncultured prokaryote. RNAcentral describes it as "bacterial SSU rRNA". It matches the Rfam family "Bacterial small subunit ribosomal RNA", at positions 355 to 774 of the family's 1533-position model. The record is from RNAcentral.
UGAGGAAUUUUGCGCAAUGGGGGAAACCCUGACGCAGCAACGCCGCGUGAGUGAUGAAGGCCUUCGGGUCGUAAACCUCUGUCUAGAGGGAAGAAACCAUUGAGGUCGAACAGGCCUCUUUGCUGACGGUACCUCUGAAGGAAGCACCGGCUAACUCCGUGCCAGCAGCCGCGGUAAUACGGAGGGUGCGAGCGUUAAUCGGAAUCAAUGGGCGUAAAGCGCACGUAGGCGGUGUCGUAAGUCGGAUGUGAAAGCCCUCGGCUCAACCGGGGAACUGCAUUCGAUACUGCGACGCUUGAGUGCCGGAGAGGGUGGCGGAAUUCCAGGUGUAGGAGUGAAAUCCGUAGAUAUCUGGAGGAACACCAGUGGCGAAGGCGGCCAACUGGCCGGCAACUGACGCUGAGGUGCGAAAGAGUGGGGAUCAAACA